Long non-coding RNA from Panthera uncia (snow leopard), 424 nucleotides. RefSeq lists it as uncharacterized. NCBI's taxonomy places the organism in Eukaryota, Metazoa, Chordata, Mammalia, Carnivora, Felidae. The transcript has 3 exons. The record is from RefSeq and is a predicted model, not a curated record.
CUCUUCCCCCUCCCCAAACUCCCCCCCUCCGCCUGGCUCUCCGCGCAGCCGUGGGAUCUCGGAGGAGGGCGUCCAUUAGGCCGCGUGUGACCAUGUAAGGUCAUACAAACAGGAUAAAGGUGCAUUGCUGGUGAUGGGCAUGUUGCUCUGACUCAAGUAGUCUUUUGCUUAACAAAAAUUGACCUACCGGAGUGAUAAAGGGAGAAAAGUGCUUGGUCAGCCAAGGAAAAUACUGCAAAUGUUAACAAGAGAAUCUUGUGUGGCAGCUUAGCAAACCAAUUGCAUUUUGAUCCUCUUCUCUCUUCUGAAGAAUUCAAGUUCAGGUCUCUUCAAGCGGAAUUGAAUCAGGAGGAAAAUAAACCAAAUUUAUGUUGAUUUAUAAAUCAAAUUCUUUCCAUGAAAAUGAAACCUACAAAUAAGAUUA